UUCACGUCUACAUACCUAUUCACUCGAAACAAUUUGUGGUAAUACCUAAAAUGGAUUUUUUUUUUAUUCGCUACCUAUGAAUGAUGGAAAAUGAAUUUGCAUGCUCAUUUCAGAAUGUAUAAGUACCUAGUUGGUCAGCUGUGUUUAAGAUCAUUCUUACUAUUUAUUAUAAAUUAAUUACCAACGUUUUGAAAUUUCAAAAAUAAAAACAAAAUGAAAGUAACCAUCAUCGUAAUCCUGGUGGGGUUAACGGUCUACUUUUCCAUGAUAUCCGCGCAAGAAGAAAAUGCUGAAAAAUCAGAAUCAGUUUCAUCAAAAUCCGAUCCAGAUACCGAACCAUCGAACCCACCACCGCCACCGGUACCACCGAAACUGUCAACUCAGCAAGGCUCAGGCUCUGAAAAGAAAAACGCCGGCUCGUUGGGGAGGCCUAUUAGACUGAUUCCUACAGGCAUGAGAGGAUAGAAGAAUAAAAAUAUCUGAUUCAAAAAACAUCCAUUAAAGCAUUUUUGAUUCAAAAACCAUCUGUGCUAAAAGUGCCACCAAUCAUAUAAAUUUUCAUCAUUAUAGUUCCAGUUUUGGCAGGGGCUCUUGUUUUUCAAUAAAAGUUACAUCGAGUGUCGUUUUUGGGCUCCGGUGAUCUGCUGGGGGUAAAAAUUAGGCUUACUAUAAGGCCCAUUAUGUCUGACGAAGCUUCAGAAAGUUCGAGAGGAAAAUGCUGACAAAUAAGUUUGUAAAACUUUAUACUUAUUUAUAAUUUGGUUCUUUCCAGUGUUCAUACAGGAAAUUCUAGUACUACCUAGAACAAGAAUAUGAUCAGAACUUAUAACAACAAGCUCCCCUACGAGAAGUCUUCGUCAGACAAAAAAAAAUACAUGCAAAUCUGCUCCUUAAUCAUGACUUGCAUAAACAUAAUAAAAUAAUUUUAAAAAGUAACAUGAUUUAUGUAUUUGUCAAAAUUGAGAAAUUCGCAAUUUGAACAUUUGGAAAACAACUAAGAGUACGUGAGCAUAGGUAUCUUCGGUUAUGAAACUUUUGAAAAAAAUUCACCAUAAUAACUCAUGUUUCGCAAUUUUUUGUCAACAUAUCCACUCGCAACAAUUCGUGGUAGGCACCCAAAAUGGAUUUUUUUUUCUUUAUUCGAUGCCUAUAAAUAAUGGAAAAUGAGUUGGCAUGCUCAUUUCAGAAUAAAUAAGUAGUUGGUCAGCUGUGUUGAAGAUCAUUCUUUCUACUUAUAUUAAUUAAUAUUACCUACGGUUUUAAAUUUCAAAAAUAUAAACAAAAUGAAAGUAACCAUCAUCGUAUUCCUGGUGGCAUUAACGGUCUACGUUUCCACGAUAAAUGCGCAAGAAGAAAACGAUGCACCAGAAAGUUCUGAAGAACCAGAAUCAGAAUCAGAAGCUUAUCUGCCACCGUCACCACCGGCUGGUUCAGGCUCCAAAAAAGGAAAAGACGGUUUCUUUAGAGGCACAUUAGGCGGAUUGGGCGGCGGAGUGGACGGACUCUUCAACAGGGGAAGAAAAAACAAUACAAAUUCUCGAUCCAAAAAACCUCCAACUCCAUCAUAGCAUUUUUGAUGCAGAAAACCGCCUGUGCCAAAAAAUGCCACCAAUCAUAAAAAUUUUCUAUAAUUUUACAACAUUGUGGUGCCGUUUUUGGCAGUGGCUCUUUUUUUCAAUAAAAAUUACAUUUCGUGUCGUUU
This is a long non-coding RNA of Planococcus citri (citrus mealybug), 1702 nucleotides long. RefSeq lists it as uncharacterized. The record is from RefSeq and is a predicted model, not a curated record. The transcript is spliced from 3 exons. Lineage: Eukaryota; Metazoa; Arthropoda; Insecta; Hemiptera; Pseudococcidae.